Molecule: ribosomal RNA, 484 nt
Filed under: uncultured bacterium
Lineage: Bacteria
Description: partial 16S ribosomal RNA
Rfam family: Bacterial small subunit ribosomal RNA
Source: RNAcentral
AUUGAACGCUAGCGGGAUGCUUUACACAUGCAAGUCGAACGGCAGCGCGGACUUCGGUCUGGCGGCGAGUGGCGAACGGGUGAGUAAUGUAUCGGAACGUGCCCAGUAGCGGGGGAUAACUACGCGAAAGCGUAGCUAAUACCGCAUACGCCCUACGGGGGAAAGCAGGGGAUCGUAAGACCUUGCACUAUUGGAGCGGCCGGUAUCGGAUUAGCUAGUUGGUGAGGUAACGGCUCACCAAGGCGACGAUCCGUAGCUGGUUUGAGAGGACGACCAGCCACACUGGGACUGAGACACGGCCCAGACUCCUACGGGAGGCAGCAGUGGGGAAUUUUGGACAAAGGGGGCAACCCUGAUCCAGCCAUCCCGCGUGUGCGAUGAAGGCCUUCGGGUUGUAAAGUACUUUUGGCAGGAAAGAAACGUCGCGGGCUAAUACCCCGUGGAACUGACGGUACCUGCAGAAUAAGCACCGGCUAACUACGUG